RNAcentral lists this ribosomal RNA (467 nucleotides) under uncultured bacterium. Its description in RNAcentral is "partial 16S ribosomal RNA". It matches the Rfam family "Bacterial small subunit ribosomal RNA", at positions 28 to 507 of the family's 1533-position model. The record is from RNAcentral.
GAUGAACGCUGGCGGCGUGCUUAACACAUGCAAGUCGAACGGAAAGGCCCAAGCUUGCUUGGGUACUCGAGUGGCGAACGGGUGAGUAACACGUGGGUGAUCUGCCCUGCACUUCGGGAUAAGCCUGGGAAACUGGGUCUAAUACUGGAUAGGACCACUUCUUGGAUGUUGUGGUGGACAGUUUUUUCGGUGUGGGAUGAGCUCGCGGCCUAUCAGCUUGUUGGUGGGGUAAUGGCCUACCAAGGCGUCGACGGGUAGCCGGCCUGAGAGGGUGUACGGCCACAUUGGGACUGAGAUACGGCCCAGACUCCUACGGGAGGCAGCAGUGGGGAAUAUUGCACAAGGGGCGCGAGCCUGAUGCAGCGACGCCGCGGGGGGGAUGACGGCCUUCGGGUUGGAAACUCCUUUCGCUAGGGACGAAGCGUUUUGUGACGGUACCUGGAGAAGAAGCACCGGCUAACUACGUG